CGCAUGUGGAACGAGCGGCGGACGGGUGAGUAACACGUGGGCAACCUGCCUUGCAGACUGGGAUAACCCCGGGAAACCGGGGCUAAUACCGGAUGACCAAUCAAAUCGCAUGAUUUGAUUGUAAAAGUAGGGACUUGUUCCUUACACUGCAAGAUGGGCCCGCGGCGCAUUAGCUAGUUGGUGAGGUAAGAGCUUACCAAGGCAACGAUGCGUAGCCGACCUGAGAGGGUGAUCGGCCACACUGGGACUGAGACACGGCCCAGACUCCUACGGGAGGCAGCAGUAGGGAAUCAUCCGCAAUGGGCGAAAGCCUGACGGUGCAACGCCGCGUGAGUGAAGAAGGUUUUCGGAUCGUAAAGCUCUGUUAUCUGGGAAGAACAAGUACCGGUCGAAUAGGCCGGUACCUUGACGGUACCCGAUCAGAAAGCCCCGGCUAACUACGUGCCAGCAGCCGCGGUAAUACGUAGGGGGCAAGCGUUGUCCGGAAUUAUUGGGCGUAAAGGGCGCGCAGGCGGUUUCCUAAGUCUGA
Molecule: ribosomal RNA, 529 nt
Filed under: Alteribacillus bidgolensis
Lineage: Bacteria; Bacillati; Bacillota; Bacilli; Caryophanales; Bacillaceae
Description: bacterial SSU rRNA
Rfam family: Bacterial small subunit ribosomal RNA
Source: RNAcentral